AGUUGCUCAGCCGUGUCUGACUGUUAGCGACCCCAUGGACUGCAGCCUACGAGGCUCCCCCGUCCAUGGGAUUUUCCAGGCAAGAGUACUGGAGUGGGGUGCCAUCGCCUUCUCCGGAACCUGCUGCUUACUCGUCAUUCUUUUGGAACCCUGAUAUUCUUAACUUUCCGAACCUGUUCUUUUCCCAACCUGUUUUUCUAAUCCAUUUUUUCCUCCGUUUGCCUUCUGAACCAUUUAGCUAUUUACCCCCUACUUGUUUUUUUGCUCUUCUUUGAGUAUGAACUCAGUGGCAGCAGCUGUGGAAGUCCUGGAGGUCAGCCCUUCCCAGAAUUCCCUCCCUCUCGUCUUCGUUUCUCUAGGCGGGAUCUCUGUAUCUCCUCUGAGCGUACAGCUUCAAACGGGCUGGAGGCCGUAUUAUGCUAAAUCAAGGAUACAGGGAGAUAAUUAACAUAGCAACUCUGGCAAGUUUAAUAGAUUCAGUAAAAUACUUUUGAGGAGUCAAUUAUUGAAUGGUUUGUAGUCUAAUAAUAAAGUAAGCUGGGAUGGUUAGGGAAACAUAAAAAGCAAAAACAAAACUAAACAACAACAACAACAAAGCGAACAAAACUUGGCAUGAGCUUCAGGGAGACAUUCUUACGGUAUUUUUGACACGGUAUUGAUGUUUAUAAAAUUUUGUCUAAUGUAUUUUAAAGAUCAUCUUUAUUUGCAAAAGUGGAACAUGCUUACUAUGGGACACUUAGAUCAUAUAAACUAAAGAGAAUAUUAAAAAAUAAAUGCAGUUUUUAUUUUUAAUGAACAUAUAUUGUCCCUGAUUUACAAAGAUGUGGUAUUCAAGAGGAGAGUACCAGUGCGUGUUUUUCCUUUACUAGAAAGUCACGAUUAAUUGACUGUCAUCCAUUCCAGAAUUCUUGUAUACCCCCACACUUUUUGAACUAAAGAAGAAAAGGUUGUCUGGAUGAAUCCCAAAUAACUUCACAUUUAGGGAAACACACCUCUGGUGUUAAAGAAGAUAAAUUUUCAGAGAAAUGGGGGAGUUGGCUAAGGGUUUGAAUUGGCCUUGAAGGCAAGAUGGGCCAGUUGCUUGCCAUUUAUAUAUCGGUUGACUAAUUCUGUUUGAGAUAAGAUGAGAUGCUUUUUAUAGUUAUGCUUGUACUGGAAAAAGAAGCGCUUAAGAGGGGUAUAGGAUCACCUGCAAAGAAUUUUCAUGCCGGCGCCUGAAUGGUGGAAACGUGGGAUAGUAUUCCUUGAGGUCGGGUGGCAUAAAAGAGCAUCCACCAGUGCACCUGAGACCUGACCUUCUCUGCUGCUGCUGCUGUCAGCCCCGCUGUCUCAGGCACAUCACUUAUUCUGUUGGUGAAAUAGCUAAUAUGGGAACUGUUUCCCAAAACUUGUUUUUCCUCCUGUGCUGGGGGAAAAAGUCCAUAAAAAGGUAUCUAUAGCUCAGAAUUGAGCACUAUUCCAAUAUCCAGGGAUCCCUGUGAUUUAUAUUCAUGCACCCAGUUAAGUGGAUGGUUGAAAGAGAAAUGGUAACUUGCUUUUGGAGGGAUCGACUCUAAUUGGCCCACGAAGAAUAGCUCUUGGAUUCCCAACAUUCUUAAAACCAACAGGCAUUUUCUUUUCCUGUUCAAGAACUGCUGCAUUUAUUGAAGUCUAUCUUUAGACUCUUGAUGUAAUUUCUGAAUCGCCAACCAUUUUGUAGACCACAACAUAGUUAAAAAUAAAGUAAGAAAUAUUGACCAAGACUCCUGAAGCCUGCAAGUGAAACAAAGCUACCACAGCAGAGGUUUACUAUGGAAUCUCUCUCCUGCAGUUCUUGCACUUUGAAAAUGACAUGAUCUAUCCCAAGGAAUAACUUAAAGCCUGAUCCACUUAAAGAGCUGCAAGUGAUUUAUCAGAAAUGUGCUUAUUUGGAAGGUUUAGCAAGACUGCUUAUGGGAGGUUGUGGGGUUAACUACCAAAAUUGUGCAUAACUUGGAUCCUGUGUAUGGCAAUUAAUCAAGAAAUUAUAUUCUUUGACUUUCUAACAACCCACACAGAGUGCUACAUCUGUGGCGUGUUUAAAUAGAGAGAGAGAGAGAUGAAAUAUUUCUUCUAAUAAAAUGCUAAUGGUUUUUGUUUUGAAGAAAAAUAUUGAAUUAUUGGGGUGUUAGAUUUAUCUGUAGGAGGGUUUCUCAAGUCACAGUCAAUAAGGACUUAGGACAGAAAACCAGCUACUUCAUGAAGAUGAUUUUCCAUUCACUUAAGUGACUUCAGGGUGAUGGUGAGAGCCCUUUGUGAUGAGGAGGUGAGAGCAGAGGAAUAAACAUGGUUACAGGGAAGGAUAGCGUCCCAGGCCAUUACUGUGGGCAUUUCUCAACUUUUCAAGCAUAUUAUUUAACCAGCAGCCUGUGGGCAUAUGUUACUAAAGACAGGUAAGACCCUCCCAUUAUUGCUGGUGUUCUUCUGCAGAUGUAACUUUCACUUAGUUACUCUGGGACCUGAGUGUUCACAGCAGGGUUUUUGUUGGUGGACACCUCCUCGGCUUCAGAACCCAGAACUAACAGCUCUCCUUGAGGCUAAGUUUCACAUAUUCAAUUUCUGGAAAUUCAAAAGAGGUACCAUCCUCGUAAAAAGAAAAAGGUUUUGGCAACCAGAAUGGUUUCGUAAAUGUCUUUUUCACUUCUGGGUCCUUAGUGAUGUGGUUCAAGUGGUUUUUAAAUUUUAUUUUUCAAUCAUUAGCUUUUUAAAAAUUAAAAAAAAAAAACAUUCACGAGACAUCUCUUUUGUACUGAUGCUGGGCAGGAGACAGGAAGCUGCAAUAGCAGCUGACUCUGACUUACCUAUGAAAUCAGGAUUUCAUAGCACAGCAAAACAGAAUCAAGAGAAAUAUUUAUGGUCUGGUAGAUGCAACAGUAACAAAAAAAGCCUGGUGCUGGAUGCUUACUGAGUGCCCGGUAUCAUUAGUCUCUUACAGACAAGGGAGCUGUGGCUUGGAGGUAGGGUAGAUCAUGUAGUUAAUAAGAGGAGGGACCAGCAUUUAAAGAUCUGUAUGGUUCGGGUUUCCUCUUCUUUAUCCUCUACUCACUUCCUACAGUAGAAGUGUAUAUACAAAGCAGUACCCUAGGUCAUGGCUGAAUUGUGUAGUGUGUUGUUACAUGUCAGGUUUUUGCACCCACUGCUUCAUGUAAACCUCACAGUAAUGCUAUGCAUUAGAUACUGUUAUUAUCCCCCAUUUAUAGAUUAGCAAACUGAGGCUCUGAGAGGUUAAGCAACUUGACUAAGGUUGAGCAGAUAGCAUCCGAGAAACAAUCUGACUCUAGAUUCUUAACCACUACACUUGACUGAUGUGAGAUCAAGGGAGAGAUUGUUUCUGCUUGGGGAGGUGGAUAGGUAUUAGGACCAGAAAAGGUAUAAGGCAAUCAGAGAAAGUGAGAGACAUGCCCUUGAUCAGGACUUGAAAGAUGGUAAGACUUAAUCUGACUUCCCUCAAGUUGGAGUCAAUUGGAGGAUGCAUUUUUGAACCUUUCAGAAAUUUCUUUGAAAGCUCUGUAGAUCUAAAUUUUAGUGAAAAGCUAUUUGAUUUCCUUGCAUUGUGAAACUCCAACAUAAUGUCUGGGAAUUCAGACUUAUAAAACGUGGAUAGAGGUGAUUUUUUUUUCUUUUGAAAUAAUUGUAGAUAUAUAAGAAGUUGUAAAAAAACA
Molecule: long non-coding RNA, 3680 nt
Organism: Bubalus bubalis (water buffalo)
Lineage: Eukaryota; Metazoa; Chordata; Mammalia; Artiodactyla; Bovidae
Exons: 3
Source: RefSeq, a predicted model, not a curated record